RNAcentral lists this ribosomal RNA (580 nucleotides) under uncultured bacterium. RNAcentral describes it as "partial 16S ribosomal RNA". It matches the Rfam family "Bacterial small subunit ribosomal RNA", at positions 802 to 1381 of the family's 1533-position model. The record is from RNAcentral.
GUAAACGANGAGUGCUAGGUGUUAGGCCCUUUCCGGGGCUUAGUGCCGGAGCUAACGCAAUAAGCACUCCGCCUGGGGAGUACGACCGCAAGGUUGAAACUCAAAGGAAUUGACAGGGGCCCGCACAAGCGGUGGAGCAUGUGGUUUAAUUNGAAGCAACGCGAAGAACCUUACCAGGUCUUGACAUCCCGAUGCUAUUCUUAGAGAUAGGAAGUUACUUCGGUACAUCGGAGACAGGUGGUGCGUGGUUGUCGUCAGCUCGUGUCGUGAGAUGUUGGGUNNNNNNNNNNNNNCGAGCGCAACCCUUAUUGUUAGUUGCCAUCAUUAAGUUGGGCACUCUAGCGAGACUGCCGGUAAUAAACNGGAGGAAGGUGGGGAUGACGUCAAAUCAUCAUGCCCCUUAUGACCUGGGCUACACACGUGCUACAAUGGUCGGUACAACGAGUUGCGAGCCGGUGACGGCAAGCUAAUCUCUGAAAGCCGAUCUCAGUUCGGAUUGGAGGCUGCAACUCGCCUCCAUGAAGUCGGAAUCGCUAGUAAUCGCGGAUCAGCACGCCGCGGUGAAUACGUUCCCGGGCNU